RNAcentral lists this ribosomal RNA (253 nucleotides) under uncultured bacterium. RNAcentral describes it as "partial 16S ribosomal RNA". It matches the Rfam family "Bacterial small subunit ribosomal RNA", at positions 524 to 776 of the family's 1533-position model. The record is from RNAcentral.
UACAGAGGUGGCAAGCGUUGUUCGGAAUUACUGGGCGUAGAGGGCGCGUAGGCGGCCUUGUAAGUCCUGUGUGAAAUCCCCCGGCUCAACUGGGGAACUGCACAGGAGACUGCUUGGCUUGAGUUCGGGAGAGGGAAGCGGAAUUCCGGGUGUAGCGGUGAAAUGCGUAGAUAUCCGGAGGAACACCGGUGGCGAAGGCGGCUUCCUGGACCGACACUGACGCUGAGGCGCGAAAGCCAGGGGAGCAAACGGG